This is a long non-coding RNA of Lagenorhynchus albirostris (white-beaked dolphin), 969 nucleotides long. RefSeq lists it as uncharacterized. The record is from RefSeq and is a predicted model, not a curated record. The transcript is spliced from 4 exons. NCBI's taxonomy places the organism in Eukaryota, Metazoa, Chordata, Mammalia, Artiodactyla, Delphinidae.
GUUUAUGAAUGGCGAGUUCUGUCAUAAAAAACAAAAGUCUUAUACAAAAAGCCUUAUACAAGUCAACGCCUACGGACUGCAACAGUCCCUUAGUUCCCAAUGUGACUAAAUCUUGUAUCGCCAAGCAAGAGAAAGCAAUUGAAGCAAUAUGACUUAGACCUCUGAUUCAAAUGAGGUGUCUGUGGAAGUAAAGUAGGCAGGAAGUGCGUACUGCUGUGUGCAGGUGCAGGACCAGGAGAAGCAGGCCCCCGCGUCUGAUUGGAAACCCGUCAUCAUCCGAAGAUACAGUCCUGUUCGCAGACUGUAUCACAAGAAGGUGCUAGGAUGGCCACAUCAUUUUGGAUAUUGUAACAAGUGAGUUUUCCUCUCUGACUCUGUUACAUGGAGACUGGGCUGCACAAGUGAAACAGGUGACCAUUGAACCUUAAAGGAGAAACAAACAUAGUGCCCUAGGGCCUAGGGCUGAUCUCAAUAUUCAUAAACCAGGACAGGACAAUCAUCUUCUCUUGACAGAUGAGGAAGAUGGGGUUCUAACAGGCUAAGGAAAACUGCCCACAGUCACAGAACAAAAAGUGGUGGAUUCCCAGUCCCUGAAGGUCCUAGGACAUGUGCCAAGUAAUUACUUGGUGGAGCCAUGGCAGAGGAAAUUCAAAGGUACCACGGACUGGAUUUCACAAGAAUCAAAGUCCUUCCCAACCCUGGGCAUCUCAGUACUUGUGGACUGUCCUUCCAGGCUUUGCCUCCACCUUUGUCACUAGGGUUGGGGUAUGUUUUGGAGGGAUGGAUAGAUGGAUGGGUGACAGGGGAUAGGAAGAAUGUACAAUGGCAAAGCAGUUACUUGGUCCAUUCAAAUUUGGUCUGCCAUUUUUAAAUUUUGCCUUUCCUACAUGCUCAUUUGCUUGCCCUAAACUCUGGGCACCUGGAGGCCUUUGCUGUAACUGUUUGUGAUCCUCAACAUAGUACCCCAUC